ACACAGAUACUGGGUAGUAUGUAUAUGUGCUGCCAGGCACUCAAAGACACUGAACUCUCAGCUUGAGGCAGAAACUAAGCAUAUUUGUGCAGGGAAAUCCAUGCCUCAUGCCGCUCUGCAGCCUGCUCUGGGUGCUCCUGGCCUUCACCUUCUCUGGAUCUGGUGUGGCGCAGAAUGUUAUUCAAGACCAGCCAAACACAUCCGGUCAACUGGGACAGUCAGUCACCCUGAACUGUCGGUAUGGAACAACCAGGAGCUAUUACUACAUGUUUUGGUACAAGCUGCUUCCCAAUGGAGAGAUGAUUUACCUUAUUAGUCAGGCUUCUUCUGGCCAGAAUGCAAGGAAUGGCCGCUACUCUGUAAAUUUUCAGAAAGCUCGUAAAUCCAUCAGCCUCACCAUUUCAGACUUACAGCUGGAAGAUUCUGCCGAGUAUUUCUGUGCUCUCUGGGGCUCCUGGGACACCCGACAGAUAUUUUUUGGAGCUGGCACCAAACUCUUCGUGGAGCCCCAAAGUCAACCUGCUGCCAGCCCAUCUGUUUUUGUCAUGAAAAAUGGGACAAACGUCGCUUGUUUGGUGAAGGAGUUCUACCCCAAAGAUGUAACUAUAAGUCUGCAAUCAUCCAAGAAAAUAAUAGAAUAUGAGCCUGCUAUUGACAUCUCACCUGGGGGGAGGUACAGUGCUAUCAAGCUUGGUCAGUAUGGAGACCCCGAUUCAGUGACAUGUUCGGUUGAACACAACCAACAAACCUGGCACUCUACUGACUUUGAACCAAAGAAAACUAUUCCAGAAACAACUCCAAAACCGACGGAAUAUGAAAACAGCACAAAAGCUGAAGUUCCAGUGACCUGCCAAGAGCCCCAAGUGCAACCCGGGAAGGUGAACAUGAUGUCCCUCUCGGUGCUGGGGCUCCGAAUGCUGUUUGCCAAGAGUGUCGCCGUCAAUUUUCUCUUGACUGCCAAGUUAUUUUUCUUUUAAGGCUGACUGGCAUGAGAAGGCUGCAUUCCCUGAAAGAAACCAAAAGCCUACAGAGAAGCUAUCUCCUAGGCUUUCAACUUUUUCGUGAUUCAAGUUGACCCAUCCCAGCCUUGCUUAAAUGGCUGCUCCCCAAACUGGUUUUCCUUUAAAGGCAACAAACCCAGCUUAUCCUUCAGCCUGAUGAAAGACAGAAGUCCUGGGGAAUGGGGGCUUAUGGCCCCAACUGUUUUAUAUGCUGCUUUAUAAAGGGAUAAGAGAUAUGAAGGUACAUAGGACUCAUUUUUUUCCCUAUGACUGACAUACUUUGAAAGUGGUGUUUUGUUCCUUUGACUUUCUUUGCCUCCAGAACUAGAAAGUGGGACCCAUCCAGUUCCCAGCUCCAUCCUCCAAGAGGAAAAAUAGAUCCUCUUGGGGAAAGGAGAGCGGGUGUCCUUCUACCUAAAUGUAAAAGCCUCUGCUCAACCCAGCACUAGAUUUGCCCAAACUAGCGUUCACAUCCACAAAAGCACUUUCUGCUUUCCCUAAUACUUGAGAAACAAAGCAACACUUGACUCCCUAAUACUCUCUUUGUAGGCAAUGGGGUCUCAUCUAAAUACUCUCAGAGCUAUUAGCAGAGAUCAGAGUAAAAUGCAGAGGAGAUUGCUUUCCUCAACUUAACAAACGUGAAUUAUUGCAAGUUCCAGGCACUGUGCUGAGAGUGCAAAAAUAAGUAAGACAUGGGUCUUGCUUUCAAGCAACUCACUGUGCAAGUAUUUUUGGAGGGAGGGAUAGGAAUGAGUCCCCAAUAUUUCCCUGUAAAACCAAAGUCUUCCUGACCCCUUGCCUGCCCAUCUGUACAAGGGGAAUUUGAGGGCAUUGGAUCUUUGGUGUUGAUGGUUUUCUGCCGUUUUUCUUUGUCUCUGUUGCAUGUAUUAAAGUGCAUUGUAUGUA
Non-coding RNA from Bubalus bubalis (water buffalo), 1907 nucleotides. Lineage: Eukaryota; Metazoa; Chordata; Mammalia; Artiodactyla; Bovidae. The record is from the annotation of a RefSeq genome assembly.